GAUGAAGAACGCAGCGAAAUGCGAUACGUAAUGUGAAUUGCAGAAUUCAGUGAAUCAUCGAGUCUUUGAACGCACAUUGCGCCCCCUGGUAUUCCGGGGGGCAUGCCUGUCCGAGCGUCAUUGCUGCCCUCAAGCACGGCUUGUGUGUUGGGUCGUCGUCCCCUCUCCGGGGGGGACGGGCCCCAAAGGCAGCGGCGGCACCGCGUCCGAUCCUCGAGCGUAUGGGGCUUUGUCACCCGCUCUGUAGGCCCGGCCGGCGCUUGCCGAACGCAAAUCAAUCUUUUUCCAGGUUGACCUCGGAUCAGGUAGGGAUACCCGCUGAACUUAAGCAUAUCAAUAAGCGGAGGA
Molecule: unclassified non-coding RNA, 348 nt
Filed under: soil metagenome
Description: partial contains 5.8S ribosomal RNA, internal transcribed spacer 2, and large subunit ribosomal RNA
Rfam family: 5.8S ribosomal RNA (bases 1-120)
Source: RNAcentral